GAUGAACGCUGGCGGCGUGCCUAAUACAUGCAAGUCGAGCGAACAGACGAGGAGCUUGCUCCUCUGACGUUAGCGGCGGACGGGUGAGUAACACGUGGAUAACCUACCUAUAAGACUGGGAUAACUUCGGGAAACCGGAGCUAAUACCGGAUAAUAUAUUGAACCGCAUGGUUCAAUAGUGAAAGACGGUUUUGCUGUCACUUAUAGAUGGAUCCGCGCCGCAUUAGCUAGUUGGUAAGGUAACGGCUUACCAAGGCGACGAUGCGUAGCCGACCUGAGAGGGUGAUCGGCCACACUGGAACUGAGACACGUUCCAGACUCCUACGGGAGGCAGCAGUAGGGAAUCUUCCGCAAUGGGCGAAAGCCUGACGGAGCAACGCCGCGUGAGUGAUGAAGGUCUUCGGAUCGUAAAACUCUGUUAUUAGGGAAGAACAAAUGUGUAAGUAACUAUGCACGUCUUGACGGUACCUAAUCAGAAAGCCACGGCUAACUACGU
This 496-nucleotide ribosomal RNA is filed under the name uncultured bacterium. Its description in RNAcentral is "partial 16S ribosomal RNA". It matches the Rfam family "Bacterial small subunit ribosomal RNA", at positions 28 to 506 of the family's 1533-position model. The record is from RNAcentral.